RNAcentral lists this ribosomal RNA (218 nucleotides) under Citrobacter sp. MB1. Its description in RNAcentral is "partial 16S ribosomal RNA". It matches the Rfam family "Bacterial small subunit ribosomal RNA", at positions 786 to 1003 of the family's 1533-position model. Lineage: Bacteria; Pseudomonadati; Pseudomonadota; Gammaproteobacteria; Enterobacterales; Enterobacteriaceae. The record is from RNAcentral.
UUUGGUAGUCCACGCCCUAAACGAUGUCGACUUGGAGGUUGUUCCCUUGAGGAGUGGCUUCCGGAGCUAACGCGUUAAGUCGACCGCCUGGGGAGUACGGCCGCAAGGUUAAAACUCAAAUGAAUUGACGGGGGCCCGCACAAGCGGUGGAGCAUGUGGUUUAAUUCGAUGCAACGCGAAGAACCUUACCUACUCUUGACAUCCACGGAACUUUCCAG